This 758-nucleotide ribosomal RNA is filed under the name Syllis variegata. RNAcentral's name for it is "bacterial SSU rRNA". It matches the Rfam family "Eukaryotic small subunit ribosomal RNA", at positions 601 to 1286 of the family's 1831-position model. The record is from RNAcentral. Lineage: Eukaryota; Metazoa; Annelida; Polychaeta; Phyllodocida; Syllidae.
AUAUUAAAGUUGUUGCAGUUAAAAAGCUCGUAGUUGGAUCUCGGGCUCGCCGGCACGCGGUCUCGGGGGUCUCGUGGCAAAUGCCGCCCCCGCUGUACUGCCGUCGGCGCCCAACCGGCGGGGGGGCCUUGCAUCCGAGAGGGUGCGGGCCCUGCCUUCCCCCUACCAGGGGUGGCAGUUGCGGGUGCCCUUAACUGGGUGGCCCGUGGCACCCGUCCGUUUUACUUUGAAAAAAUUAGAGUGUUCAAGGCAGGCUUCCGACGGCCUGAAUAAUGGUGCAUGGAAUAAUGGAAUAGGACCUCGGUCUUAUUUUGUUGGUUUUCGGGACUCGAGGUAAUGAUUAAGAGGGACAGCCGGGGGCAUUCGUACUGCGGCGUGAGAGGUGAAAUUCUUGGACCGCCGCAAGACGAACUACUGCGAAAGCAUUUGCCAAGAAUGUUUUCAUUAAUCAAGAACGAAAGUCAGAGGUUCGAAGACGAUCAGAUACCGUCCUAGUUCUGACCAUAAACGAUGCCGACUGGCGAUCCGCCGGAGUUGUACCUAUGACCCGGCGGGCAGCCCCCGGGAAACCAAAGUCUUUGGGUUCCGGGGGAAGUAUGGUUGCAAAGCUGAAACUUAAAGGAAUUGACGGAAGGGCACCACCAGGAGUGGAGCCUGCGGCUUAAUUUGACUCAACACGGGGAAACUCACCCGGCCCGGACACCGUAAGGAUUGACAGAUUGAGAGCUCUUUCUUGAUUCGGUGGGUGGUGGUGCAUG